UUUAUAAUUUAAAUCUNUAAAACCCACCCACCAACUAUAAUGAAGCAUCAAAAAGAUAUAGUAACGGCGAUAAAACUUUUAUUUACUUGAACUGAAGUACCGUAAGGGAACACAAAAAAUAGGAAUAACCAGUUAACGCCAGCGUACUUUUUGUCUCACGGUUUAGCAAGAGCAGCCUAGAAAUCUAGCUUCUCGAAAUCUAAUGAGCUAUUUUUAUUUAACCUUCUAGGGUUAUUACUCUAAAUGUGGCAAAAUUUAAGCGAUAAAUAAAAAUAGAGAUGAAAUUUCAUACGCAUUAGCGAUAGCUAGUUUUCCCUAAAAGAUAUAAAAGUAUCAAAGCGGACUAGACCUAUAAAAUACAUAACAAAUUUUGUAAGCUGUCUUAGCUUUCAUUUACUCGAGGAUAAGCUCGAAUAAAACUCCGAAUAGUAACUUAUAACUUUGUGCCCUCUGUGUGGGCUUAAGAUUAGCCACCACACGAAGCUUGUUAUAGGGUAGUCUUCCAACCAAUAAAAAAAUUAAUAUACAUAACCUUCGGUGUAAACAAGGGAACAUAGAAUCGAAACCUUCAGAUUGAAUGCCUAUGCUAAAAUGAGUAUUAUACUCAAAAUUGUAUGAAAAGAUCGUAGAGAAUUUUCUUUAAAUCCCAUGAUCCCAAAAUAAAAUAACUGAAAGGAACUCGGCAAUUCCUUGCUUUGCCUGUUUAUCAAAAACAUGGCUCUUUGUUUUACUUCGAUAAAGAGUCGAGCCUGCCCAGUGAAGUUUUUAACGGCCGCGGUACUCUGACCGUGCAAAGGUAGCAUAAUCAUUUGCCUUAUAAUUGAAGGCUGGUAUGAAUGGUUUGACAAAAGCAAACCUGUCUCUCUUUUAUUACCUAAAAAUUGACCUCUAGGUGAAGAGGCCUAGAUAACAUUGGAGGACAAGAAGACCCUGUCGAGCUUAAAAGAACAAGUGGAAGUCAAUAUACUAAUAAAUAAAUAACCCACUUAGCUUUUUAGUUGGGGCGACUAAGGAACAAAAAAAGCUUCUUCUGCAGAAGAAACUGAACAAGUUAAGAUCCAGCUAUGGUCUGAUCUAAGAAAUUAGUUACCGCAGGGAUAACAGCAUAAUCUCUCUUGAGAGACCUAAUCGAAAGGGGGGGUUGUGACCUCGAUGUUGGACUAGAAUAUCCUGAAGAUGCAGAAGUCUUUAAGGGUUGGUC
RNAcentral lists this ribosomal RNA (1201 nucleotides) under Terebralia palustris. RNAcentral's name for it is "partial 16S ribosomal RNA". The stretch from base 622 to 1201 matches the Rfam family "Archaeal large subunit ribosomal RNA", at positions 1423 to 2646 of the family's 2987-position model. The record is from RNAcentral. Lineage: Eukaryota; Metazoa; Mollusca; Gastropoda; Potamididae.